CUCAGAACGAACGCUGGCGGCGUGGAUAAGACAUGCAAGUCGAACGGGAGAAUUGCUAGCUUGCUAAUAAUUCUCUAGUGGCGCACGGGUGAGUAACACGUGAGUAACCUGCCUCUUAGUGGGGGAUAGCCCUGGGAAACCGGGAUUAAUACCGCAUACGAUUGAAAGAUCAAAGCAGCAAUGCGCUAGGAGAUGGGCUCGCGGCCUAUUAGUUAGUUGGUGAGGUAACGGCUCACCAAGGCGAUGACGGGUAGCCGGUCUGAGAGGAUGUCCGGCCACACUGGAACUGAGACACGGUCCAGACACCUACGGGUGGCAGCAGUCGAGAAUCAUUCACAAUGGGGGCAACCCUGAUGGUGCGACGCCGCGUGGGGGAAUGAAGGUCUUCGGAUUGUAAACCCCUGUCAUGUGGGAGCAAAUUAAAAAGAUAGUACCACAAGAGGAAGAGACGGCUAACUCUGUGCCAGCAGCCGCGGUAAUACAGAGGUCUCAAGCGUUGUUCGGAAUCACUGGGCGUAAAGCGUGCGUAGGCUGUUUCGUAAGUCGUGUGUGAAAGGCAGGGGCUCAACCCCUGGAUUGCACAUGAUACUGCGAGACUAGAGUAAUGGAGGGGGAACCGGAAUUCUCGGUGUAGCAGUGAAAUGCGUAGAUAUCGAGAGGAACACUCGUGGCGAAGGCGGGUUCCUGGACAUUAACUGACGCUGAGGCACGAAGGCCAGGGGAGCGAAAGGGAUUAGAUACCCCUGUAGUCCUGGCAGUAAACGGUGCACGCUUGGUGUGCGGGGAAUCGACCCCCUGCGUGCCGGAGCUAACGCGUUAAGCGUGCCGCCUGGGGAGUACGGUCGCAAGAUUAAAACUCAAAGAAAUUGACGGGGACCCGCACAAGCGGUGGAGUAUGUGGCUUAAUUCGAUGCAACGCGAAGAACCUUACCUGGGCUUGACAUGUAAUGAACAACAUGUGAAAGCAUGCGACUCUUCGGAGGCGUUACACAGGUGCUGCAUGGCCGUCGUCAGCUCGUGUCGUGAGAUGUUUGGUUAAGUCCAGCAACGAGCGCAACCCCUGUUGCCAGUUACCAGCACGUCAAGGUGGGGACUCUGGCGAGACUGCCCAGAUCAACUGGGAGGAAGGUGGGGACGACGUCAGGUCAGUAUGGCCCUUAUGCCCAGGGCUGCACACGUACUACAAUGCCCAGUACAGAGGGGGCCGAAGCCGCGAGGCGGAGGAAAUCCUGAAAACUGGGCCCAGUUCGGACUGUAGGCUGCAACCCGCCUACACGAAGCCGGAAUCGCUAGUAAUGGCGCAUCAGCUACGGCGCCGUGAAUACGUUCCCGGGUCUUGUACACACCGCCCGUCACAUCAUGGAAGCCGGUCGCACCCGAAGUAUCUGAAGCCAACCGCAAGGAGGCAGGGUCCUAAGGUGAGACUGGU
RNAcentral lists this ribosomal RNA (1429 nucleotides) under uncultured organism. RNAcentral's name for it is "16S ribosomal RNA". It matches the Rfam family "Bacterial small subunit ribosomal RNA". The record is from RNAcentral.